This 94-nucleotide transfer RNA is filed under the name Tremellales sp. Tagirdzhanova-0007. It matches the Rfam family "tRNA". Rfam says of the family: Transfer RNA (tRNA) molecules are approximately 80 nucleotides in length. Their secondary structure includes four short double-helical elements and three loops (D, anti-codon, and T loops). The record is from Rfam by way of RNAcentral. Lineage: Eukaryota; Fungi; Basidiomycota; Tremellomycetes; Tremellales.
GGACGUAUAGCUCAGAUGGUUAGAGCACCCGUUUCACAUAUUCAUCUGGAAUGAGAAUCACGGGAGGUCGACGGUUCGAGCCCGCCUACGUUCA